Molecule: ribosomal RNA, 467 nt
Filed under: uncultured bacterium
Lineage: Bacteria
Description: partial 16S ribosomal RNA
Rfam family: Bacterial small subunit ribosomal RNA
Source: RNAcentral
GACGAACGCUGGGGCGUGCUUAACACAUGCAAGUCGAACGGAAAGGCCCUGCUUUUGUGGGGUGCUCGAGUGGCGAACGGGUGAGUAACACGUGAGUAACCUGCCCUUGACUUUGGGAUAACUUCAGGAAACUGGGGCUAAUACCGGAUAGGAGCUCCUGCUGCAUGGUGGGGGUUGGAAAGUUUCGGCGGUUGGGGAUGGACUCGCGGCUUAUCAGCUUGUUGGUGGGGUAGUGGCUUACCAAGGCUUUGACGGGUAGCCGGCCUGAGAGGGUGACCGGCCACAUUGGGACUGAGAUACGGCCCAGACUCCUACGGGAGGCAGAAGUGGGGAAUAUUGCACAAUGGGCGGAAGCCUGAUGCAGCAACGCCGCGUGCGGGAUGACGGCCUUCGGGUUGUAAACCGCUUUCGCCUGUGACGAAGCGUGAGUGACGGUAAUGGGUAAAGAAGCACCGGCUAACUACGUG